This is a long non-coding RNA of Populus trichocarpa (black cottonwood), 362 nucleotides long. RefSeq lists it as uncharacterized. Lineage: Eukaryota; Viridiplantae; Streptophyta; Magnoliopsida; Malpighiales; Salicaceae. The record is from RefSeq and is a predicted model, not a curated record. The transcript has 2 exons.
GAGGAGGAAGAGGAAGAGGAAGAGGAAUGGGAGGAGGAGGAGGAGGAGGAGGAGGAAGGGGAAGAGGAAGAGGAAAAGGAUGAGGAUGGAGGUGGUCAUGAGGAUUACGUCAAAUGAUAAGUUUGGCAUUGGAAUUUGAAAAACAUGCUAAUAAUUAAUUCUUGCAGGCAAGGUUGGUUACCUGUUACAUGUUCACCUCAACAUUAGGUGAUUUCUCGGAGAUUUAUGUCUUUGAGCUGUGGUGCUGUGAAUGUUUUUUAAUUUGUGGAAUUGAUUUCAACUGUUUCAUUGGCAAUGGCAUACAAUUUGGCUUUGUAUUGUAAUUUUAUAGAACUCCCAAAAGAACAAUAUUGACUUAUCUA